CUCCAGAGAAGAAGAAAGAGUCGAAGCUCUCAUGCUCACAAUGCCCGUGGGAAUGAAUACAGAUGUGAACUUCAACUGCUGGAUGUCUCACAGCUGAAAAUGCUAAGUUUUUCUCUAGAUUUCAACAUGCAAGUACCACAUUGUGGAAGCUGCUUUUCCUGCCUAUUGGAGUUAUGGCCUUGAAGUUUACUCUGAUGGACCCAAGUAUGGGCUUCUGCUGUAACAGGAAGGGUUACUUACCCACACCUGGAGGCUAAGUGUGGCCAUAUGACUUGCAUUGUCCAAUGAAACAUGAGGAUAUGUGACUUGUGUCAUCCCUAGAUGUGCACAUCUGCACGUUGUCUCCAGCUGCUGUGGCAAAUGCAGAAGCCUCUUGUUGAGAUGGAGGAGAUAGUGGGGCCUCCGUCUGCCUGAGGCCCUGAGUGACUUCAAUGAGUAGAACCAUGCUGUUGACUCCUAGUGAUAUGAAGUAUGAGUCAGAAAUAAAGCUUUGCUACUUUUAGC
Molecule: long non-coding RNA, 504 nt
Filed under: Equus caballus (horse)
Lineage: Eukaryota; Metazoa; Chordata; Mammalia; Perissodactyla; Equidae
Description: lncRNA (ENSECAG00000027889.2)
Source: RNAcentral